Molecule: ribosomal RNA, 301 nt
Filed under: uncultured bacterium
Lineage: Bacteria
Description: partial 16S ribosomal RNA
Rfam family: Bacterial small subunit ribosomal RNA
Source: RNAcentral
CAGCCGCCACGGUAAUACGGAGGGGGCUAGCGUUGCUCGGAAUUACUGGGCGUAAAGCGCACGUAGGCGGCUUGGUAAGUUAGAGGUGAAAGCCCGGAGCUCAACUCCGGAAUUGCCUUUAAGACUGCCGAGCUAGUAGGUGAGAGAGGUAAGUGGAAUUCCGAGUGUAGAGGUGAAAUUCGUAGAUAUUCGGAAGAACACCAGUGGCGAAGGCGGCUUACUGGCUCAUUCUAGACGCUGAGGUGCGAAAGCGUGGGGAGCAAACAGGAUUAGAUACCCGCGUAGUCCCUGUCUCUUAUAC